This 394-nucleotide ribosomal RNA is filed under the name uncultured bacterium. RNAcentral's name for it is "bacterial SSU rRNA". It matches the Rfam family "Bacterial small subunit ribosomal RNA", at positions 151 to 518 of the family's 1533-position model. The record is from RNAcentral.
GGGGUAACGGUAAUAACCGGACGUAUUCUUUGCUUUUCUAUAAGUUAAUUGCAAGCAAAGGUAGGCCGUCUGCAUAUGCUACUGCAUGAAGAGGGGUCUGCGUACCAUUAGCUAGUAGGUGGGGUAAUGGCCUACCUAGGCGACGAUGGUUGGCGGGUCUGAGAGGAUGAUCCGCCACACUGGCACUGGAACACGGGCCAGACUCCUACGGGAGGCAGCAGUGAGGAAUAUUGCGCAAUGGGGGAAACCCUGACGCAGCGACGCCGCGUGAGUGAGGAAAGGCCUUCGGGUCGUAAAGCUCUGUCAAGAGGAAAGAAGUGUACAAUGGCUAAUACCUGUUGUAUUUGACGGUACCUCUAAAGGAAGCACCGGCUAACUCCGUGCCAGCAGCAGC